GUGGGGAAUAUUGGACAAUGGGCGAAAGCCUGAUCCAGCCAUGCCGCGUGUGUGAAGAAGGUCUUCGGAUUGUAAAGCACUUUAAGUUGGGAGGAAGGGUAGUAACCUAAUACCUUGCUGUUUUGACGUUACCGACAGAAUAAGCACCGGCUAACUUCGUGCCAGCAGCCGCGGUAAUACGAAGGGUGCAAGCGUUAAUCGGAAUUACUGGGCGUAAAGCGCGCGUAGGUGGUUGUGUAAGUUGGAGGUGAAAUCCCCGGGCUCAACCUGGGAACUGCCUCCAAAACUGCAUGACUAGAGUACGGUAGAGGGUAGUGGAAUUUCCUGUGUAGCGGUGAAAUGCGUAGAUAUAGGAAGGAACACCAGUGGCGAAGGCGACUACCUGGACUGAUACUGACACUGAGGUGCGAAAGCGUGGGGAGCAAACAGGAUUAGAUACCCUAGUAGUCC
RNAcentral lists this ribosomal RNA (450 nucleotides) under uncultured bacterium. RNAcentral describes it as "bacterial SSU rRNA". It matches the Rfam family "Bacterial small subunit ribosomal RNA", at positions 354 to 796 of the family's 1533-position model. The record is from RNAcentral.